RNAcentral lists this transfer RNA (73 nucleotides) under Neotoma lepida (desert woodrat). It matches the Rfam family "tRNA". Rfam says of the family: Transfer RNA (tRNA) molecules are approximately 80 nucleotides in length. Lineage: Eukaryota; Metazoa; Chordata; Mammalia; Rodentia; Cricetidae. The record is from Rfam by way of RNAcentral.
UGGGAUGGAGCUCGGUUGGUAGAGUGUUUGCCUACUAUGCAGGAAGCCCUGGGUUCCAUCCCCAGUACCACAC